GUUCCUACGGGACGCAGCAGUGGGGAAUAUUGGGCAAUGGGCGCAAGCCUGACCCAGCAACGCCGCGUGAGGGAAGACGGUCUUCGGAUUGUAAACCUCUGUCUUUGGGGAAGAAAAUGACGGUACCCAAAGAGGAAGCUCCGGCUAACUACGUGCCAGCAGCCGCGGUAAUACGUAGGGAGCGAGCGUUGUCCGGAAUUACUGGGUGUAAAGGGAGCGUAGGCGGGCGAGAAAGUUGAAUGUUAAAUCUACCGGCUUAACUGGUAGCUGCGUUCAAAACUUCUUGUCUUGAGUGAAGUAGAGGC
This 305-nucleotide ribosomal RNA is filed under the name uncultured bacterium. Its description in RNAcentral is "bacterial SSU rRNA". It matches the Rfam family "Bacterial small subunit ribosomal RNA", at positions 335 to 658 of the family's 1533-position model. The record is from RNAcentral.